This 1081-nucleotide ribosomal RNA is filed under the name Escherichia coli. Its description in RNAcentral is "partial 23S ribosomal RNA". It matches the Rfam family "Bacterial large subunit ribosomal RNA", at positions 419 to 1506 of the family's 2925-position model. Lineage: Bacteria; Pseudomonadati; Pseudomonadota; Gammaproteobacteria; Enterobacterales; Enterobacteriaceae. The record is from RNAcentral.
GGGACACGUGGUAUCCUGUCUGAAUAUGGGGGGACCAUCCUCCAAGGCUAAAUACUCCUGACUGACCGAUAGUGAACCAGUACCGUGAGGGAAAGGCGAAAAGAACCCCGGCGAGGGGAGUGAAAAAGAACCUGAAACCGUGUACGUACAAGCAGUGGGAGCCUCUUAAUGGGGUGACUGCGUACCUUUUGUAUAAUGGGUCAGCGACUUAUAUUCUGUAGCAAGGUUAACCGAAUAGGGGAGCCGAAGGGAAACCGAGUCUUAACUGGGCGUUAAGUUGCAGGGUAUAGACCCGAAACCCGGUGAUCUAGCCAUGGGCAGGUUGAAGGUUGGGUAACACUAACUGGAGGACCGAACCGACUAAUGUUGAAAAAUUAGCGGAUGACUUGUGGCUGGGGGUGAAAGGCCAAUCAAACCGGGAGAUAGCUGGUUCUCCCCGAAAGCUAUUUAGGUAGCGCCUCGUGAAUUCAUCUCCGGGGGUAGAGCACUGUUUCGGCAAGGGGGUCAUCCCGACUUACCAACCCGAUGCAAACUGCGAAUACCGGAGAAUGUUAUCACGGGAGACACACGGCGGGUGCUAACGUCCGUCGUGAAGAGGGAAACAACCCAGACCGCCAGCUAAGGUCCCAAAGUCAUGGUUAAGUGGGAAACGAUGUGGGAAGGCCCAGACAGCCAGGAUGUUGGCUUAGAAGCAGCCAUCAUUUAAAGAAAGCGUAAUAGCUCACUGGUCGAGUCGGCCUGCGCGGAAGAUGUAACGGGGCUAAACCAUGCACCGAAGCUGCGGCAGCGACACUAUGUGUUGUUGGGUAGGGGAGCGUUCUGUAAGCCUGUGAAGGUGGCCUGUGAGGGUUGCUGGAGGUAUCAGAAGUGCGAAUGCUGACAUAAGUAACGAUAAAGCGGGUGAAAAGCCCGCUCGCCGGAAGACCAAGGGUUCCUGUCCAACGUUAAUCGGGGCAGGGUGAGUCGACCCCUAAGGCGAGGCCGAAAGGCGUAGUCGAUGGGAAACAGGUUAAUAUUCCUGUACUUGGUGUUACUGCGAAGGGGGGACGGAGAAGGCUAUGUUGGCCGGGCGACGGUUGUC